Molecule: ribosomal RNA, 449 nt
Filed under: Escherichia sp. E3356
Lineage: Bacteria; Pseudomonadati; Pseudomonadota; Gammaproteobacteria; Enterobacterales; Enterobacteriaceae
Description: bacterial SSU rRNA
Rfam family: Bacterial small subunit ribosomal RNA
Source: RNAcentral
AACGAGCGCAACCCUUAUCCUUUGUUGCCAGCGGUCCGGCCGGGAACUCAAAGGAGACUGCAGUGAUAAACUGGAGGAAGGUGGGGAUGACGUCAAGUCAUCAUGGCCCUUACGACCAGGGCUACACACGUACAAGGCGCAUACAAAGAGAAGCGACCUCGCGAGAGCAAGCGGACCUCAUAAAGUGCGUCGUAGUCCGGAUUGGAGUCUGCAACUCGACUCCAUGAAGUCGGAAUCGCUAGUAAUCGUGGAUCAGAAUGCCACGGUGAAUACGUUCCCGGGCCUUGUACACACCGCCCGUCACACCAUGGGAGUGGGUUGCAAAAGAAGUAGGUAGCUUAACCUUCGGGAGGGCGCUUACCACUUUGUGAUUCAUGACUGGGGUGAAGUCGUAACAAGGUAACCGUAGGGGAACCUGCGGUUGGAUCACCUCCUUACCUUAAAGAAGC